This 78-nucleotide small RNA is filed under the name Flavobacterium sp. TAB 87. RNAcentral's name for it is "Flavo-1 RNA". It matches the Rfam family "Flavo-1 RNA". The record is from Rfam by way of RNAcentral. Lineage: Bacteria; Pseudomonadati; Bacteroidota; Flavobacteriia; Flavobacteriales; Flavobacteriaceae.
CCCUAGCCCUCAUGGGAGCGGCAUCCUUUUGUGUCUUUCUUUAAGGCACAAAAGAUACAGUGGACAGCAGGAAUAGCU